This 492-nucleotide ribosomal RNA is filed under the name uncultured bacterium. RNAcentral describes it as "partial 16S ribosomal RNA". It matches the Rfam family "Bacterial small subunit ribosomal RNA", at positions 29 to 507 of the family's 1533-position model. The record is from RNAcentral.
AGUGAACGCUGGCGGUAGGCCUAACACAUGCAAGUCGAACGGCAGCACAGUAAGAUCUUGCUCUUACGGGUGGCGAGUGGCGGACGGGUGAGGAAUACAUCGGAAUCUACUUUUUCGUGGGGGAUAACGUAGGGCAACUUACGCUAAUACCUCAUACGACCUACGGGUGAAAGCAAGAGAUCUUCGGACCUUUCGCGAUUGUAUUAGCCGAUGUCGGAUUAGCUAGUUGGUAUGGUAACGGCCCACCAAGGCAACGAUGCGUAGCUGACCUGAGAGGAUGAUCAGCCACACUGGAACUGAGACACGGUCCAGACUCCUACGGGAGGCAGCAGUAGGGAAUCUUGCGCAAUGGGCGAAAGCCUGACCGAGCAACGCCGCGUGAGUGAUGAAGGUCUUCGGGUCGUAAAGCCCUGUUGUUGGGGAAGAACAAAAGUAGAAGAAACUAUGGACGUCUUGACGGUACCUAAAGAAAAAGCACCGGCUAACUACGUG